RNAcentral lists this ribosomal RNA (996 nucleotides) under Arthrospira sp. EERGCy-002. RNAcentral's name for it is "bacterial SSU rRNA". It matches the Rfam family "Bacterial small subunit ribosomal RNA", at positions 137 to 1168 of the family's 1533-position model. Lineage: Bacteria; Bacillati; Cyanobacteriota; Cyanophyceae; Oscillatoriales; Microcoleaceae. The record is from RNAcentral.
AUCCAAUUAUCCAGCAACUUCUGGCUAAUCCCGGAUGAUCCGAAAGGCAAAAGAUUUAUCGCCGGUCUAUGAGCUCGCGUCUGAUUAGCUAGUUGGUGAGGUAAAGGCUCACCAAGGCGACUAUCAAUAGCUGGUCUGAUAGGAUGAUCAGCCACACUGGGACUGAGACACGGCCCAAACUCCUACGGGAGGCAGCAGUGGGGAAUUUUCCGCAAUGGGCGCAAGCCUGACGGAGCAAGACCGCGGGGGGGAGGAAGGCUCUUGGGUUGUAAACCCCUUUUCUCAAGGAAGAACACAAUGACGGUACUUGAGGAAUAAGCCUCGGCUAACUCCGUGCCAGCAGCCGCGGUAAUACGGAGGAGGCAAGCGUUAUCCUUAAUGAUUGGGCGUAAAGCGUCCGUAGGUGGCUGUUCAAGUCUGCUGUCAAAGACAGUGGCUUAACUACUGAAAGGCAGUGGAAACUGAACAGCUAGAGUACGGUAGGGGCAGAGGGAAUUCCCGGUGUAGCGGUGAAAUGCGUAGAUAUCGGGAAGAACACCGGUGGCGAAUGCGCUCUGCUGGGCCGUAACUGACACUGAGGGACGAAAGCUAGGGGAGCGAAUGGGAUUAGAUACCCCAGUAUUCCUAGCCGUAAACGAUGGAUACUAGGUGUAGCCUGUAUCGACCCGGGCUGUGCCGAAGCUAACGCGUUAUGUUUUCCCGCCUGGGGAGUACGCACGCAAGUGUGAAACUCAAAGGAAUUUGACGGGGGCCCGCACAAGCGUUGGAGUAUGUGGUUUUAAUUCGAUGCAUCGCGAAGAACCUUACCAUGUCUUUGUCAUGUCCGUAAUCUUGGUGAAUCCAGAUAGUGCCUUCCGGAGCCUGAACACAGGAGGUGCAUGGCUGUCGUCUCCUCGUGUUAUGAGAUGUUGGUUUAGUCCCGCCACGAGCGCACCCUCGUCUUUAUUGGCUUCAUUCAGUUGGGUACUUAGGGAGACCUGCCGGUGAAAACCGAAG